UGAUAGAGGCGCGGAAUUUAUCAGUACCGACCGACGGCAAAGCAGGGGCUUUGUCGGUUGCCAAAGGAAAUUCCGCCGAAACGGUCUGUCACCCCGAAGGGCAGGGCGUUGGGCCGAUGCAGAACAUGUAUCGGACUGUCACUUUCCGUGGAGCGCUAUC
RNAcentral lists this non-coding RNA (160 nucleotides) under human gut metagenome. RNAcentral's name for it is "Lysine riboswitch". It matches the Rfam family "Lysine riboswitch aptamer". Rfam says of the family: Riboswitches are metabolite binding domains within certain messenger RNAs that serve as precision sensors for their corresponding targets. Allosteric rearrangement of mRNA structure is mediated by ligand binding, and this results in modulation of gene expression. This family includes riboswitches that sense lysine in a number of genes involved in lysine metabolism, including lysC. The record is from RNAcentral.